AAUGAAGAAUAUAUGGAUUGGUCCUGAACCUAAUUGAUUUCAAUAUUGUUAUUUGAGUACACUGACUGCCUUAGAGGGGUCAGGCUUCAGUGAUUCCCUAUUUAAUCAAUCAAAUUUCUCCCAGAAAAAAAAGGGGGGGUUCGCCCCCUCUAAAUCCGCUUCUGGAGUAUCCCCAUAAUUGAAACCAAAUUGGAACCAUUCUAAGUAUUACAAGAAAGGAAACAUAUAGGUUAGGGAUACCUGAUGAGGAUAGGUGACCGUAACCGAAACACCUUUAGUAUUAGAACCACAGACCAGAUUUUGAUUUUUAUUCUAAAUAUACACACACAAUAAAUAUACUACAAGC
Molecule: long non-coding RNA, 346 nt
Filed under: Mytilus galloprovincialis (Mediterranean mussel)
Lineage: Eukaryota; Metazoa; Mollusca; Bivalvia; Mytilida; Mytilidae
Source: RNAcentral